UGGGGAAUAUUGGACAAUGGGCGGAAGCCUGAUCCAGCAACGCCGCGUGAGGGAUGACGGCCUUCGGGUUGUAGACCUCUUUCAGCACAGACGAAGCGCAAGUGACGGUAUGUGCAGAAGAAGGACCGGCCAACUACGUGCCAGCAGCCGCGGUAAUACGUAGGGUCCGAGCGUUGUCCGGAAUUAUUGGGCGUAAAGGGCUCGUAGGCGGUCUGUCGCGUCGGGAGUGAAAACCAGGUGCUUAACACCUGGCCUGCUUUCGAUACGGGCAGACUAGAGGUACUCAGGGGAGAAUGGAAUUCCUGGUGUAGCGGUGAAAUGCGCAGAUAUCAGGAGGAACACCGGUGGCGAAGGCGGUUCUCUGGGAGUAUCCUGACGCUGAGGAGCGAAAGUGUGGGGAGCGAACAGGAUUAGAUACCCUGGUAGUCCACACCGUAAACGUUGGGCGCUAGGUGUGGGAUCCAUUCCACGGGUUCCGUGCCGCAGCUAACGCAUUAAGCGCCCCGCCUGGGGAGUACGGCCGCAAGGCUAA
Molecule: ribosomal RNA, 532 nt
Filed under: uncultured Nocardioides sp.
Lineage: Bacteria; Bacillati; Actinomycetota; Actinomycetes; Propionibacteriales; Nocardioidaceae
Description: bacterial SSU rRNA
Rfam family: Bacterial small subunit ribosomal RNA
Source: RNAcentral